RNAcentral lists this ribosomal RNA (250 nucleotides) under uncultured bacterium. RNAcentral's name for it is "partial 16S ribosomal RNA". It matches the Rfam family "Bacterial small subunit ribosomal RNA", at positions 524 to 773 of the family's 1533-position model. The record is from RNAcentral.
UACGUAGGUGGCAAGCGUUGUCCGGAUUUACUGGGCGUAAAGCGAACGCAGGCGGAUCUUUAAGUAGGAAGUGAAAGGUUGGAGCUCAACUCUGACACUGCUCCCUAUACUGGAGAUCUUGAGUUCUGGAGAGGAAAGCGGAACGACACGUGUAGCGGUGAAAUGCGUUGAUAUGUGUCGGAACACCGAUGGCGAAAGCAGCUUUCUGGACAGCAACUGACGCUGAGGUUCGAAAGCCAAGGGAGCGAAC